UAAGGAAUAUUCCCCAAUGGGCGAAAGCCUGAGGGAGCGACGCCGCGUGCGGGAGGAAGCCUUUCGGGGUGUAAACCGCUUUUUUGAGGGAUGACAUCUUCUACUCGCAUAAAGUAGGAGUACGACAGUACCUCAAGAAUAAGCCUCGGCUAACUACGUGCCAGCAGCCGCGGUAAUACGUAGGAGGCGAGCGUUGUCCGGAUUUACUGGGCGUAAAGGGCGCGCAGGCGGGCACGAUAAGUAAGGUGUGAAAUCUCCCUGCUCAACGGGGAGGGAGCACUUUAGACUGUCGAGCUAGAGGUGGGUAGAGGGUGGUGGAAUUGCUGGUGUAGCGGUGAAAUGCGUAGAGAUCAGCAGGAACACCCGUGGCGAGGGCGGCCACCUGGGCCUAACCUGACGCUGAGGCGCGAAGGCUAGGGGAGCGAACGGGAUUAGAUACCCCGGUAGUCCUAGCAGUAAACGAUGUCCACUAGGUGUGGGGGGUUGUUGA
This 490-nucleotide ribosomal RNA is filed under the name uncultured bacterium. RNAcentral describes it as "bacterial SSU rRNA". It matches the Rfam family "Bacterial small subunit ribosomal RNA", at positions 355 to 836 of the family's 1533-position model. The record is from RNAcentral.